UCCGCACUCAGUACAUGAAAUCUUAGUCUUCUUGUUCCCCCCACACACACCCCGCUAGUGCCGGGGUGCCGCCUCCCGCCCCUGGCCAUGACAUUCGGCACACUCCAUUCCUAGCACAAGACUCACAUCCGAGCCAUUCUCAUCCUCCUGCAGUGAGGCCCUGCCGUCGCCAGGCCUUCCAUUCGCGGUCACCUUGUGGGCGAGGCCCCUGGGCCCCGGGCUGGGGGAGGGGACCACCCCGUUGUGUGACACCUCGUGCUGUUCUGUCCCCAAACCUGUUCCCCCGGCCGUACCUGCCAGAGUGUGCCUACAUUCCCGAUAUCCCACUGGAAAGUGAGCUGCUAGGACGUAGACGGCAUCCGUUCCGUCGCCGAGUGCCGAGUGGGCGGCGACUUGAGGGAAGAAAGCCCGGGAGGGAGACGCCGGGCGACCGCGAAGGGAGAGGUCAAAAUGCCCUGGCUGCUGUUUUCCCUGUUCCCGUGGCCCACUGGAAAAAGAAGCUGAAAUACAGGAUGUAGGUUGUCUAAUGGACCUGGAACGACGGAGGAAGCUGGACUUAGGAUCCAUUUCUGCCUGUCUCCAAAGCCCUGCCUAUACCAAACAUCAGGCCACAGCCCUGUCUCCGUGCUGACUGCCUUUCUGCACUUCCUGCCAGCCACCCUCAUGUCUGGGCUUCUGGGUUUGUGUUCUUUGUCUGGGGCUGUUGAUGGACCACCAGGAGGUCCCUGGGUAUCCUGUCAGUGUUUCCCAGCCACUAGAGGAUGACUUGGGAUGGCAUCCCAGGUUCUGACACGUACUUAGAAAAUUCUGCACAGGCAGCAGCAGGUAGACACCGAUGUUGAAAUGAAUUGUUUCUAAGCUGACGGCCAAGAAGGAAUUCUUGAAAAGAUUUUGGUGCAAAAAAAAAAAAAAAGGUGGUUUUGUUAAAGCAUGGGAACAGGACCUGUAGGCAGAAAGCACUGCACUGAGAUUAUGAAGACUGACUACUAGAAGGUUUUCCAUCCUGUAGAGGGGAGGGUGACCUUAAGGCUCCAGGAAAUUGAGCCUAUAGGUUCCUGGAGGUCCAUUGUUAAACAUGGUGUUUUUCUUGUAAAUCAUUAAGACAGUUAGAAACUGGGCGCCUUGGUGGCUCAGUUGUUUGAGUGCCUGGCUCUUGAUUUUGGCUCAGGUCAUGAUGCCAGGGUCAUGGGAUUGAUCCCUGCCUCGGGGUGCUGGCUGAGCAUGGAGCCUGCUUAAGAUUCUCUCUCCCUCUGACCCUGUCCCCUGCUCACUCUCUCUUUCUUAAAAAACAAACAAACAAAAAAGACAGUUACAAACUCUAGUGGAAGUUUCAUACCCAACAUGACUGUAAAUGAUGUUAUCUGCAUUUCCUUUUGCUUUUGUUUUCCACAUCAACUAUUUCUUUUCUCCCUGCCUCUGUUCUCAGGCAGUCACCAGUACCUGAGGAAUAGUCUACACAUCUCACCCUAACUGGGGGAUGUUUGUAGUGUGUCUGCUCAAGUGUAACUCCUCUCGCAUUCUGUACAACGCAGUUUCCCAGAGUCUAGAUUAGAAAAGUGAAUACAGUGGGGGCCUGGGUGGGUCAGUUGAUUAAGUGUCUAACUUCAGCCUAGGUCAUGAUCUUGCUGUUCCCGAGUUUGAGCCCCAUGUCCAGUUCUGUGCUGACAGCUCAGAGUCUGGAGCCUAUUUCAGAUUCUGUGUCUUCCUCUCUCUCUGCCCCUCCCCAACUCAUGUUCAGUUUCUCUCUCUCAAAAGUAAAUAAACAUUAAAAAAAUGAAUGCAGGUGCAACAGAAAUUAGCAUUAAGCUUUUUACCCCCCUCUUUUGUUUUUUUGUUUUUUGUUUUUUGCUUCAGCUAUACAGUUUCUUGCAAGGUAAGAAAGAAAUGCAAAGCCGUGUCAGGACAUAGGUUGUCAUGUGUUUUUGUCUUGAGCAAUGUAAAGUUAAAUUGCUUACCUAAGAUAUUUUACAUGAGGGAAAGUUACACAUAGAAUAUCAGCCAUCAUGUUAAAUAAAAUAUGAGAUAGGACUAAAUAACAUUUUACAGAGACCUGGUUUACUCUUUAGAAGAAAAACACACUUCUACAAUGUAGAGAAUAAUGACAUGCAGGAGGUUUUCCCAGCUGUUCACCUUUUACCUUGCACUGAACCUGUAUUACAUCAUUUUGCUUUAAAAAAAUGGAAAUGGACUAGGUUAGGUAAUUAUUAAUUGGCAACAUGAUACUGAUAUAAAACUGCUUUUGGCCAGAGAUACGAUAAUGGUCAAUUUUGGCAACCUAGAUAAAGGGAGAAGUUAUUAUGUCACCUUCCCAAAAUCAUUGUGCCAAUCUGUGUUCAGCUCACGAUCUCAAGUAUUUAAAACUUCCGUUUCUAUAAAUAUGAAUAGAAUAACCUUUUAAAAUAGGGUACAAAGUAUAAAUCCAUUUUUUUCUAAUUCAGCAAGCACAUGGGAUAUUCUCACUUCUUUUCAGAAAACUACCUGUAGACACACAGAUAGACACGGGGCACCAAGUUUGAAUGCUACCGGAACAAUUUCCUCACAAAUUAACAUUUUACCAAAUACUAAUAUACAUAAUGUCAAAAGAGGAAGUGCACACUGCUGAAAUCAAAACCGUUUUUAAAACGCAAAUUAUCAGUGUGGUACAUUAUUUUGAACAAAGGAGAAACUGGCAAUAUAUGAAGUUGUGUGCUGUUAGAAGGCCUGUCCCCUUGCUUAAAACAAAUGAGAGAAAGUGACUUUGGAAGCCUGUUAGAUGUAUGUGAAACUUUAAAAGAACUUAGAAAUACACUUUCUGAAUUUGGAAAAAAAGGUAAGGUACUGGAAUACUUCCGUUUGGGGUGUAAAUAAAAUUUUGGAAUUUCAAA
Prionailurus viverrinus (fishing cat) is the source of this 2864-nucleotide long non-coding RNA. RefSeq lists it as uncharacterized. NCBI's taxonomy places the organism in Eukaryota, Metazoa, Chordata, Mammalia, Carnivora, Felidae. The transcript is spliced from 3 exons. The record is from RefSeq and is a predicted model, not a curated record.